This 585-nucleotide ribosomal RNA is filed under the name uncultured bacterium. Its description in RNAcentral is "partial 16S ribosomal RNA". It matches the Rfam family "Bacterial small subunit ribosomal RNA", at positions 355 to 1375 of the family's 1533-position model. The record is from RNAcentral.
UGGGGAAUUUUGGACAAUGGGCGAAAGCCUGAUCCAGCAAUGCCGCGUGUGUGAAGAAGGCCUUCGGGUUGUAAAGCACUUUUGUCCGGAAAGAAAUCCUUGGCUCUAAUACAGUCGGGGGAUGACGGUACCGGAAGAAUAAGCACCGGCUAACUACGUGCCAGCAGCCGCGGUAAUACGUAGGGUGCAAGCGUUAAUCGGAAUUACUGGGCGUAAAGCGUGCGCAGGCGGUUCGCUAAGACCGAUGUGAAAUCCCCGGGCUCAACCUGGGAACUGCAUUGGUGACUGGCAGGCUAGAGUAUGGCAGAGGGGGGUAGAAUUCCACGUGUAGCAGUGAAAUGCGUAGAGAUGUGGAGGAAUACCGAUGGCGAAGGCAGCCCCCUGGGCCAAUACUGACGCUCAUGCACGAAAGCGUGGGGAGCAAACAGGAUUAGAUACCCUGGUAGUCCACGCCCUAAACGAUGUCAACUAGUUGUUGGGGAUUCAUUUCCUUAGUAACGUAGCUAACGCGUGAAGUUGACCGCCUGGGGAGUACGGUCGCAAGAUUAAAACUUAAAUGAAUUGACGGGGUCAUAGCUGUUUCCU